This 868-nucleotide ribosomal RNA is filed under the name uncultured bacterium. Its description in RNAcentral is "bacterial SSU rRNA". It matches the Rfam family "Bacterial small subunit ribosomal RNA", at positions 51 to 916 of the family's 1533-position model. The record is from RNAcentral.
ACACAUGCAAGUCGAGGGGCAGCACAGGUAGCAAUACCGGGUGGCGACCGGCGCACGGGUGAGUAACGCGUAUGCAACUUGCCUAUCAGAGGGGGAUAACCCGGCGAAAGUCGGACUAAUACCGCAUGAAGCAGGGGCCCCGCAUGGGGAUAUUUGCUAAAGAUUCAUCGCUGAUAGAUAGGCAUGCGUUCCAUUAGGCAGUUGGCGGGGUAACGGCCCACCAAACCGACGAUGGAUAGGGGUUCUGAGAGGAAGGUCCCCCACAUUGGUACUGAGACACGGACCAAACUCCUACGGGAGGCAGCAGUGAGGAAUAUUGGUCAAUGGGCGCGAGCCUGAACCAGCCAAGUCGCGUGAGGGAUGAAGGUUCUAUGGAUCGUAAACCUCUUUUAUAAGGGAAUAAAGUGCGGGACGUGUCCCGUUUUGUAUGUACCUUAUGAAUAAGGAUCGGCUAACUCCGUGCCAGCAGCCGCGGUAAUACGGAGGAUCCGAGCGUUAUCCGGAUUUAUUGGGUUUAAAGGGUGCGUAGGCGGCCUUUUAAGUCAGCGGUGAAAGUCUGUGGCUCAACCAUAGAAUUGCCGUUGAAACUGGGGGGCUUGAGUAUGUUUGAGGCAGGCGGAAUGCGUGGUGUAGCGGUGAAAUGCAUAGAUAUCACGCAGAACCCCGAUUGCGAAGGCAGCCUGCCAAGCCAUUACUGACGCUGAUGCACGAAAGCGUGGGGAUCAAACAGGAUUAGAUACCCUGGUAGUCCACGCAGUAAACGAUGAUCACUAGCUGUUUGCGAUACACUGUAAGCGGCACAGCGAAAGCGUUAAGUGAUCCACCUGGGGAGUACGCCGGCAACGGUGAAACUCAAAGGAAUUGACGG